CAAGAAAUUCAUUUCAAAAACCCAUUAACACACUCUCUCUCUAAAACUCAGCCGAACACACCCCUCUAGCAUAUUAUUUUGAAAAUUCUUGACCUUUUCAUGGAGAUUCAAGCUCAUUCUAAGGUGAUUACAAGGCCAUUUGAAGGUUUGAAGGUGAUUCCAAGGAGUUUCAAGCAAAAACCAAGCUUUAUAUCAUCUUUUUAAUCAAAAACCCACUUGAAUCUUGAGGGUACUUGAGUUCGGCUUCGGGAAUUAUGGCGUAUCUUGUGGUUGUUGAUGCAUGUUUUGUCACUUAAAUAUGUUGGACUAAUUUUAAAACUUUCUGGGAUAAAUGUAAUAAGAUCCACAAGGAUCAAAGACAAUUUAAACUAUGUGGUGGUUGUGUCAUGUUAUGGGACGUCAUACUUAAAAACUUAUGUUUUAAUUAA
This is a long non-coding RNA of Helianthus annuus (common sunflower), 428 nucleotides long. RefSeq lists it as uncharacterized. The record is from RefSeq and is a predicted model, not a curated record. NCBI's taxonomy places the organism in Eukaryota, Viridiplantae, Streptophyta, Magnoliopsida, Asterales, Asteraceae. The transcript is spliced from 2 exons.